This 1420-nucleotide long non-coding RNA is filed under the name Pan troglodytes (chimpanzee). RNAcentral describes it as "long non-coding RNA NONPTRT017345". The record is from RNAcentral. Lineage: Eukaryota; Metazoa; Chordata; Mammalia; Primates; Hominidae.
GACAGGCCCUAAGUGAUGAAAACUUGUCAAGGUUCUCUUCUCUUUUUCUAACAGCCAUAAACACCUCCUUGGUGCGGGGGGAGGGAGGAGACUGCGGGAGGGGGGUGUCUGCAGGGAUCACACACCUGUGUGAAACUAAAAGAAAAAUAUCAGUGGGUGCCCAGGGCUUCUCACUACAAACUGCCCAUUAGACCUAUCAGAGUUAUAUCACCGUCACAUGACAGAUCAUGACCCUCCAACUGCACUGAGCAGUCACUCUGUUGGUCUCUGACCUGCUGGGUGGCCCAAGACAAUCCCGGCCCCCUCACAUCCUUCCCUGGACACCAAACGACACGAAGUCAGUUGAUCCCACCUACCCCAGAUUUUCAGGUCUCAAAACUUAGUGGAGUCUGUUCUGCCAUAGAAGGGAGAGAACAGCUCCACUUACUAAAACCAUUCCAUGCCUGCUCCCUUCCCUCUCUGCUCACAUUGUGAAUGCCCCGCCCACGGCUCCGGGUGUUGGGCAGACUCCACCCUGUGCUCUCUGCGUGGCAGACCAAGGCCAGGCCCCAGAAGCCUGGUUUCUGGUCCCAGCACUGCUGACAAGCCGAGCACCCAGGUUCAGUCCUUUCCUCGUGGCCUCAGUUCCCUAAUCUGUGCAAUGACUGAGGAUCUAUGGAACCUGGUAUGUGAAAGCUCUCUUUAAACUAUAAAGAGCUGUACCCACCUGAAUAGGUGAGUGUGCAAUGUGGAGAGGCCUGAGUUAGGGAGUCACUAUUUUAGAGCACGUGGUCACCUGUAGCUGGCAGGAACGGGAUUGCCCCCAGCACAGCCAGAUGGUGAGGAGCUGCUGCAGGAAUGGGAUUGCCCCCAGCACAGUCAGACCGUGAGGAGUUGCUCAACCAGCAUGUGUUUUCCUGGUCAUCAGUGUCUGGGGAGCACUGUCCCCCUGGGUGCCCUGGUGCCUGAAGAAGCCCAAAGGGGUUUCUUCCCUCCCACUAGGCACAGGAGCUGAGCUGGAAUGGCACCCACACAGGCGCAGGGACGUGACAGCAGAAAAGCUUGUCACUGCUCACUGGGCACUGAGCUGGACCCGGCUUGAGCCGGCAGAGAGGUGCUGGCCGGGUGCCGGGGAACAGAUGCCAGCACUGGGCAGCUUCCUGGGCUGGAAAAGCAGUGGAGGCCUCCCCUCUCGCUUGACAAACCAGGGACUCCUGGGGCCCAGGCCCCGGAAGGAGGAACCCCCCAACACUCUAAACAAACGGGCUUUCUUUACAUGUAACCUGGGUCGUUCCUAGGGGUGGAGGAGCCGGAGAAGGAAGCCAAAGGACACUGCCAGACCUGGGACCUAGGGUGUCUAGAAAAACGAAAUCAGACCCUGUAAUCCCACCAGGCCCAGGCAUGCCCCGCCAGGCAGGCCACCCAGCAGCAGUGGGGACAA